RNAcentral lists this ribosomal RNA (468 nucleotides) under uncultured bacterium. RNAcentral's name for it is "partial 16S ribosomal RNA". It matches the Rfam family "Bacterial small subunit ribosomal RNA", at positions 28 to 507 of the family's 1533-position model. The record is from RNAcentral.
GACGAACGCUGGCGGCGUGCUUAACACAUGCAAGUCGAACGGAAAGGCCCUGCUUUUGUGGGGUGCUCGGGUGGCGAACGGGUGAGUAACACGUGAGUAACCUGCCCUUGACUUUGGGAUAACUUCAGGAAACUGGGGCUAAUACCGGAUAGGAGCUCCUGCUGCAUGGUGGGGGUUGGAAAGUUUCGGCGGUUGGGGAUGGACUCGCGGCUUAUCAGCUUGUUGGUGGGGUAGUGGCUUACCAAGGCUUUGACGGGUAGCCGGCCUGAGAGGGUGACCGGCCACAUUGGGACUGAGAUACGGCCCAGACUCGUACGGGAGGCAGCAGUGGGGAAUAUUGCACAAUGGGCGGGAGCCUGAUGCAGAAACGCCGCGUGCGGGAUGACGGCCUUCGGGUUGUAAACCGCUUUAGCCUGUGACGAAGCGUGAGUGACGGUAAUGGGUAAAGAAGCACCGGCUAACUACGUG